UAGCGGCAGGCUUAAUACAUGCAAGUCGAGGGGCAGCACGAAUAGCAAUAUUUGGUGGCGACCGGCGCACGGGUGCGUAACACGUAUACAACCUACCUUAAACAGGGGGAUAGCCUUUCGAAAGAGAGAUUAAUACCCCGUAAUAGAUUGAAUGGCAUCAUUUGAUUUUGAAAGCUCCGGCGGUUUGAGAUGGGUAUGCGUCCUAUUAGCUAGUUGGUGGUGUAAUGGACCACCAAGGCGACGAUAGGUAGGGGAUCUGAGAGGACUAACCCCCACACUGGUACUGAGACACGGACCAGACUCCUACGGGAGGCAGCAGUAAGGAAUAUUGGUCAAUGGAGGCAACUCUGAACCAGCCAUGCCGCGUGCAGGAAGACGGCCCUAUGGGUUGUAAACUGCUUUUGUACCAGAGAAAACCCCGAUACGUGUAUCGGGUUGAUAGUAUGGUAAGAAUAAGCAUCGGCUAACUUCGUGCCAGCAGCCGCGGUAAGACGAAGGAUGCAAGCGUUAUCCGGAUUCAUUGGGUUUAAAGGGUGCGUAGGCGGACUUGUAAGUCAGUGGUGAAAUCUCUCAGCUUAACUGAGAAACUGCCAUUGAUACUGCAGGUCUAGAGUAUAGAUGACGUUGGCGGAAUAUGACAUGUAGUGGUGAAAUACUUAGAUAUGUCAUAGAACACCGAUUGCGAAGGCAGCUAACGAAACUAUAACUGACGCUGAGGCAC
Molecule: ribosomal RNA, 721 nt
Filed under: uncultured yard-trimming-compost bacterium
Lineage: Bacteria
Description: bacterial SSU rRNA
Rfam family: Bacterial small subunit ribosomal RNA
Source: RNAcentral